AUGAUCUUGUGUUGUAGCCUGCACUUGUUGCAAUUGGUUUUCAUCAUCGGAACUUGUUUCAGAAAGUUCUAGAUUAUUCUUCUUUUUCCUUCUUCCUCUUCCAACUGAUUUACCUGUUCCUUUAACACUCAUACCUUUUUUGGUCUUUUUACCGUUUCCCUCUUGAGUUGACAAUUCUGAUUUUUCCGUAUGCUGCUUUAAUUCUCCAUCGUUUUUAUCUUCACGUUUACCUUUCUUUUUCUUGUUCCCGUUGGAUGGAGACAGCUGCUCAUUGUAAUCCAUUAACUCCGAGCUUUUGCUCCCUGCCAUUCCUUUCACAGCUUUGCUUAUCCUCUUGCUACGAAUUUUAGCGAAUCGUUCAUUAAAAGUGUAAAACGCUUCCAAUCGCAAUUGAGUCUGCACAAACCAAAUCGUCAAAAUCAGACAUGUUUUCUCUUUAAAUUAAUUAAAUAUAGGGAAACGGAGAUGAAGAAGAUGGAGACCUCAUGUUUGUUGUACUCCUUUAGAACAGGUAGUAGCAACUCAUCCGCCUUCUGUGUGCC
This 542-nucleotide long non-coding RNA is filed under the name Helianthus annuus (common sunflower). RNAcentral's name for it is "hypothetical non coding rna". The record is from RNAcentral. Lineage: Eukaryota; Viridiplantae; Streptophyta; Magnoliopsida; Asterales; Asteraceae.